RNAcentral lists this long non-coding RNA (872 nucleotides) under Ananas comosus (pineapple). Its description in RNAcentral is "long non-coding RNA (ACOM_LNC037207)". The record is from RNAcentral. Lineage: Eukaryota; Viridiplantae; Streptophyta; Magnoliopsida; Poales; Bromeliaceae.
GGGGCUGUUUGGUUGCACGCAUUUGCAACUGCAGUGCAGUUGCAAAUACGUGCAGUCUCAAUUCCUUUGUUUGGUUUAGUGUAGUUGAGUUCAACUGCUGCAGUUCCAACUAUACAAGAAGGUCCAAAUAUUGCAGUUGGAACUACAUCCAAAUUGGCCGUAGUUCCAACAGCAGCAGUUGGUGAGGAAUAGGAUCACCCACAAAUUAACAAUAAUAAAUAAAUAAAUAAAUAGCUAAAUAAAUAAAUAAUAUAUGUAUAUAGGUAAAUAAAAAUACUUGUAAAUAAACUCAUACUAAUAAAAAUUUUUAGACAAUAAAAGUUUUGUGCAAAAAAUUAAAUUUUUUAAAUUUAUUUUAUUUAAAAUAUAAAUAUAGUUUUUUUAAAAAAAUUUUAUAGAAUGUGAUCGUGUAUGUUAAUUUAAUAAGUUUUAAUUAAUUAUAAUUAUUAAACUUAAUAAAAAAAAGAGAGAAUCGUUUAAAUUUUAAAGUUUGAUUUACAUAUUAAAAUUAAAUAAAUUAAAAAUUUUAAAUGUGUCGAUUAAUAAGUUGAAGAAUAUUAUAUAUAUCUACUUAUUUAUUUAUAAAUAGUAAAUUUAAAUAAUUAAUAAACUUAUACAAUUAUUUUAUGUUUAGUGAAGGUAAUCUCACCACUCUAUCUGAAAAGGUGACAAAAUUCACGAAUACAACUAUCAGCUUCAUAUUACCAAACAGAAGAAAUAUAACUGCAGCAGUUGCAACUGUGUAAAACCAAACAGACUAGGUGUAGUUACAACUGCAGCAUUUGCAACUGCAUGUAUUUUCAACUACACUGUUUCUGCAACUAUAUCUAACCAAACAGUCCCUAAGUGUUGGAGUUAACAAGUACUAAUAA